Molecule: ribosomal RNA, 253 nt
Filed under: uncultured bacterium
Lineage: Bacteria
Description: partial 16S ribosomal RNA
Rfam family: Bacterial small subunit ribosomal RNA
Source: RNAcentral
UACAGAGGUCUCAAGCGUUGUUCGGAUUCAUUGGGCGUAAAGGGUGCGUAGGUGGCGCGGUAAGUCGGGUGUGAAAUUUCGGAGCUUAACUCCGAAACUGCAUUCGAUACUGCCGUGCUUGAGGACUGGAGAGGAGACUGGAAUUUACGGUGUAGCAGUGAAAUGCGUAGAUAUCGUAAGGAAGACCAGUGGCGAAGGCGGGUCUCUGGACAGUUCCUGACACUGAGGCACGAAGGCCAGGGGAGCGAACGGG